Molecule: ribosomal RNA, 340 nt
Filed under: uncultured cyanobacterium
Lineage: Bacteria; Bacillati; Cyanobacteriota
Description: bacterial SSU rRNA
Rfam family: Bacterial small subunit ribosomal RNA
Source: RNAcentral
CUGUGGAUUGUAAACCCCUUUUGACUGGGAAGAACACAAUGACGGUACCAGUCGAAUCAGCCUCGGCUAACUCCGUGCCAGCAGCCGCGGUAAUACGGAGGAGGCAAGCGUUAUCCGGAUUUAUUGGGCGUAAAGCGUCCGCAGGUGGUUCUGCAAGUCUGCUGUCAAAGCGCGAAGCUCAACUUCGUAUAGGCAGUGGAAACUGACAAACUUGAGGGUGAUAGGGGCAGAGGGAAUUCCCAGUGUAGCGGUGAAAUGCGUAGAGAUUGGGAAGAACACCGGUGGCGAAAGCGCUCUGCUGGGUCACACCUGACACUGAGGGACGAAAGCUAGGGGAGCG